RNAcentral lists this ribosomal RNA (301 nucleotides) under uncultured bacterium. Its description in RNAcentral is "partial 16S ribosomal RNA". It matches the Rfam family "Bacterial small subunit ribosomal RNA", at positions 509 to 809 of the family's 1533-position model. The record is from RNAcentral.
CAGUAGCCGCGCGAAUACAGAGGGUGCGAGCGUUAAUCGGAUUUACUGGGCGUAAAGCGUGCGUAGGCGGCUUCUUAAGUCGGAUGUGAAAUCCCUGAGCUUAACUUAGGAAUUGCAUUCGAUACUGGGAAGCUAGAGUAUGGGAGAGGAUGGUAGAAUUCCAGGUGUAGCGGUGAAAUGCGUAGAGAUCUGGAGGAAUACCGAUGGCGAAGGCAGCCAUCUGGCCUAAUACUGACGCUGAGGUACGAAAGCAUGGGGAGCAAACAGGAUUAGAUACCCGUGUAGUCCCUGUCUCUUAUAA